UUUCUCAGUUCGGCUCGCUCUACUCAAUGGGGUAAUUGUUGUCACAAAUGUGAAACUAGUAGAAGGUAAAAAUUGGAAUUCACUCUUUUUGGAAAAAGGGAAGAAUGGAAAAGAGGGGCUAUAAGCCUCGAAGUCACAAAAACCAGUCAACAACUGCACAAUCCACAGCCAGCGAUUCCAAUCAUAAACAUGGAUUUUCUAAGGGCCAGCGUGAGGUGGAAACCACUCCCACCCCGUGUUUAAGGGAACAAACAGCACACAAGGAAGGGGCCCGUGGGAGAACCGGUAGCAGCAGAAAGGGAGCUGUAGGCCAUCAUGACACCAGACCAAAGGCUCGUGUCCCCCUCCAACUCAACUGGAUCCAAACAUUAGAGCCAAAAAACACAUGACAUGACGCUUCAAAAAAGAAGGAAAAACCGGGAGACAAGGAGCAUGACUCACUCGAGUGGACUGGAAUAUGUUAAGAUGCGCCGAAAGGUUGACCGGUGGAAUUAGAUACAGCUUUAGCUUCACUAAUUUUUUGUUAUCAGCAGCUCUCCACAUGUUGAGGUUUUAUCCGCUGAAGAAAAAAGUCUGAAGUUUCUGCGGAAUCACUCGUAUACAUGUUAUUUAUAGGAAAAAGUGGAAAGAAACUCUUCUCUCCGUUCUUCGUAAGUCGGUUCAAUCCAUGUCUUCAGCAAUGACUUCAGGACCUGAAAUCUUUCGCGUAACGCAUCAUUUCAUGAGAAUAAACCUAAGGGUUAAUUAGAUGAUGCAACCAAUGCGACAGAAAGAAAACUUAGAACCAUAAAGUCAUGCACCCAAUGUGACAGAAAGAUUAUGAUUUCCGUAUAGAAGGUUUCAGGUUUCCUGCCCCGUUGCAGUACAGUGUACGCUUAAAACAAUUCAGUCAUUCAUGAAUGAUAUAAUUCAACUUGACGCCAAAAAAAAGAAGAGAAUGAUGCAAUUCAACUAUGAUUGGGCCAUCUGACCAGAUCUCCAACUUUAAUUUUCUUGACACUUCUAAAAUGAUAAAGAGAGGAAACAAUGACCCCCAAAAAAUGUCCCUAUGAUGUGCUCCCUGCAUUAAAAUUAUUAGGAGGCUCACAGGAAAAUUGUGCUGUCUAGUCACACCCUUUCUUGCUAAUCUUGAGGUGGCCACCGCCAUCAUGGUCUGUAGUGCUCACUUGCACCUCCCCAUGGCUUAUAAUAGGCUAUAAGUGUAUUGUAGAUUGUGCUUGAGCUUGAGCUGAGUUAAAGACUGUUUUCAUUGGUCUUAGUACCUAAAGGGCUUGGGCUGAGAGUAAUGGGUAAUGAGAUGGGCAACAACAACGUUAUCGGUCAACAAGGUAUGCAUGUUGCUAAAUACUAUCUGCUUUCUAGGAAUGAGCAUGAAUAUUUUGCUAACCAUCUUCUUAUGUAAUUCUAGUACCAGAGGAGAGUGCUAAGGAUUUCGACAAAACCAUGGCCAACGCAGAUUAUUCACAUGAGCUCAAUAACAUAAAUGGUGAGAAAGGUACUGCCUCUGUUUCACAAUAUUUGUCCUGCACGAACACCUAGGAGGCACAAAUUCAACGAAUAUUUGAUGGAAUCAUGUCAAACUUGCUCUUACUAGAAACUCACCACUACAAAGCUAUGAUCGCUGAUUCAUUGUUCUGUUUAUGUUAGAUACGGAAAAGGAUGGCACUAAGGAUGUAGAUAUGUCGGAGGUAUUAAAGGUCCCUCUCAUCUCUAGUGGUGGAGAUAAGCAAAUGGCUUCAGAUCAAACAAAAUUGUCCGCUGCGAAUGAAGACUUAGAUGAGAAGAAUAGGGGCUCACCUCAGGAUCACACAUCAACAGAAGAUGAUGAUGGGAAUAAAAACUUACCUACAGAACAAGGUUAGUUCAGCCGACUGAUAUUGUACAUACUAUAAUUUUAUUUUUGUAUUGUAAAGCGUAUUAUGCGAAUGGUUUAAUACGAAAAGUUUGGAAAUGGUGAUUUCCAUAUGAGGUAGUAAGAAAAUUCUAGAGAUUUAAUAGGCAUUUUUUUUAUACAAGUUAACUUCUAGUUAGAAUUCAGUGCAAUGUAAUCUGGAGUUCAAUAACCACUCUAAUGCUAUUAUGUUUAUGUUAGAUAAGGAGAAGGAUGGCACUAAGGAUGUCGAUAUGUCAGAGGUGUUAAAGGCCCCUGCCAUUUUUAAUGGUGGAGAUGAUCAAAUGGCUUCAGAUCAAAGAAAAAUCUCUGCUGCAAAUGAAGACUUAGAUGAGAAGAACAGGGGCGCACUUGAGGAUCAUACAUCAACACAAGAUGAUGAUGGAAACAGUAACUUACCUACAGAACAAGGUUAGUUCAGCUGGCUGAUACGGUCCGUACCUAGUUUGUUUUGCUGUCUUUCGUACAAUAGUCCCAUUUUUGUGCUUUAAGCUUCUAUGCACUGGGUCUGUCCUUUAAUAAGCCAUUUAAAACUGGUUUAGUAUGAGAAAUACGCGUGCUUGAGAAAAUUAAUGGUGAUUUCAGGAUGAGAUAGUAAGAAAAAUCUAUGGUUCAAAAGAAUGCUAGUGCUACCUAGCCGUCCACCUAAUGUUUUUUUCGAAAAGAGGGGAAAAUCCUCUGGCUCUGCAUCGAGUGAUGCAUGGCUACCCACCUAAUAAGAAGUACAUUAUGUUUCUAUGAAUAACUAUACUUGAAUUUCAGAAUGUAUAAUUGUCCACUAAAAACAUAGGCAGUUAAGCAUUUAUAGCUUUUACCUUCAGCACUAUAAGCUCGACUAAUAAAAGCAAGUCAUCUGGCACAGGUGAUGAAGCACAGGAGGACAGUGGAACUGAAACAGCCACAAAUU
Molecule: long non-coding RNA, 2798 nt
Filed under: Triticum aestivum (bread wheat)
Lineage: Eukaryota; Viridiplantae; Streptophyta; Magnoliopsida; Poales; Poaceae
Description: long non-coding RNA (TAES_LNC026018)
Source: RNAcentral